Molecule: ribosomal RNA, 505 nt
Filed under: uncultured bacterium
Lineage: Bacteria
Description: partial 16S ribosomal RNA
Rfam family: Bacterial small subunit ribosomal RNA
Source: RNAcentral
GACGAACACUGGCGGCGUGCCUAAUACAUGCAAGUCGAACGCACAGUUUAUACCGUAGCUUGCUACACCAUAGACUGUGAGUUGCGAACGGGUGAGUAACGCGUAGGUAACCUGCCUGGUAGCGGGUGAUAACUAUUGGAAACGAUAGCUAAUACCGCAUAAUAUUGAUUAUUGCAUGAUAAUUAAUUGAAAGGUGCAAUUGCACCACUACCAGAUGGACCUGCGUUGUAUUAGCUAGUAGGUGAGGUAACGGCUCCCCUAGGCGACGAUACAUAGCCGACCUGAGAGGGUGAUCGGCCACACUGGGACUGGGACACGGCCCAGACUCCUACGGGAGGCAGCAGGAGGGAAUCUUCGGGAAUGGACGAAAGUCUGAACGAGCAACGCCGCGUGGGGGAAGAAGGUUUUCGGAUCGUAAAGAUCUGUUGUUAGAGAAGAACGGGUGUUGGAGUGGAAAGUUCACACUGUGACGGUAUCUUACCAGAAAGGGACGGCUAACUACGUG